Molecule: ribosomal RNA, 253 nt
Filed under: uncultured bacterium
Lineage: Bacteria
Description: partial 16S ribosomal RNA
Rfam family: Bacterial small subunit ribosomal RNA
Source: RNAcentral
UACAGAGGUCCCGAGCGUUGUUCGGAUUCAUUGGGCGUAAAGGGUGCGUAGGCGGUCUGCUAAGUUUGAUGUGGAAUCCCGGGGCUCAACCCUGGAAUUGCAUUGAAUACUGGUGGACUAGAGUACUGGAGAGGAAACUGGAAUUUACGGUGUAGCAGUGAAAUGCGUAGAGAUCGUAAGGAAGACCAGUGGCGAAGGCGAGUUUCUGGACAGUAACUGACGCUGAGGCACGAAGGCCAGGGGAGCAAACGGG